GCAAUUUCUGUUCAAAUAUAAUAUUUAUAUAUUCACUUAACUCCUCAAAAAACCAACCAAAAAUGGGCGCUGAAAAAGUAACCAUGAACAUCGUCGUCGUCGGACAAGUCCAAUCUGCCAAGGCCAUCAAAUUGGUCGCCAAAACAACAAAAUUCUGUGGUUUUAUUAUUUAUGAAUAAUAGUGGGAUCGUAUUUUUUCCGGUUUGCAAUAUUUGCAAUAUUGUUAUGCACAUCCGUAGACUGACCUGUUAAUUCAAGUCCACAACAAUCUCAAACUCAAAUAUGCCAUAGCCCAAACAGUUCAUUUUUAAAAUUAUUUUAUAAUUUGUUUUUAAUUAUAAAAAUGUGUAUCGACAUUUCAAAAUAAAUCAGUCUCUUCC
Long non-coding RNA from Metopolophium dirhodum (rose-grain aphid), 380 nucleotides. RefSeq lists it as uncharacterized. NCBI's taxonomy places the organism in Eukaryota, Metazoa, Arthropoda, Insecta, Hemiptera, Aphididae. The transcript has 3 exons. The record is from RefSeq and is a predicted model, not a curated record.